Molecule: non-coding RNA, 3971 nt
Organism: Podarcis lilfordi (Lilford's wall lizard)
Lineage: Eukaryota; Metazoa; Chordata; Lepidosauria; Squamata; Lacertidae
Source: the annotation of a GenBank genome assembly
GUAGAGUUCAUUAGGUGAGUGUAAAACCGCUGGAUAUUACUUUGCUGAAGCAUGCCGUUUGACUUCCUAAAUGACAGAUGCCAUACAAGACAUUCCUGAAAUUAAGUUAAAUGAAGAUAAUGAGCUCUGAGAACCGAACCCUAAAGUCAAGCGGUUGGAGACCAUUUGACCUUAUUUUCAAUCUUCUUUAUUAGGGUUAAAGACAAAGAGUCCAAGUGUCUUGCUAAAUCGACCAGAGGAUGGCUGAUGAGCUAGAAAUUAAUGCCGUAGUUUAAAACAGGACUCAAGGAGAUGGGAAACAUCGGAGACCCAUUAACCUUUCCCAUGGCAUUGUAAAGAAACAAAACCAAGGAGAGCGAAGACCAACCAGAAGGGACGCCUUUGGACUGUAAUUAUUCAGAAGGCUUCAAAAGCAAUUAUUUCAGACGAUAUAGAAAAGAUAGCUCAGCAGAAGGCUGAUCUCUGCAAACGACAUGGACCAUUUUUGUACUUUGACCAUCACAGGCAAAAAUUGGAAUACAUUGCCAAGGGCUGAACAAAUCAGCAAUCUCUUUUCAGGGUUUGGUUUUCAUGACAAUCAAAGGAGCUUACCUUCAAGAAAUAAGAACGCUUCGAAACAGACCAUUCACAGAGCAGGCUCACUUCAGGCCUAAUCUGAAGUAAAUUCCACUGAGGUCAGAUGGACUGACACCCAGGCAAGUGUGAUAAUAAUCUAGAAGUAAACCCCACCGGGGGCGCGGGUGGCGCUGUGGGUAAAACCUAAGUGCCUAGAGCUUGCCGAUCGCAUGGUCGGCGGUUCGAAUCCCCGCGGCGGGGUGAGCUCCCGUCUUUCGGUCCCAGCUCCUGCCCACCUAGCAGUUCGAAAGCACCCUUAAGUGCAAGUAGAUAAAUAGGUACCGCUUUAUAGCGGGAAGGUAAACAGCGUUUCCGUGUGCUGCGCUGGUGCUGGCUCGCCAGAGCAGCUUCGUCACGCUGGCCACGUGACCCGGAAGUGUCUCCGGACAGCGCUGGCCCCUGGCCUCUUAAGUGAGAUGGGCGCACAACCCUAGAGUCGGACAUGACUGGCCCGUACGGGCAGGGGUACCUUUACCUUUACUUUAAACCCCACCGAAUUCAAAGGAAAUUGCUACAAAGUGGGCAUGCACAGGACCAAACUGUUAUGAUUUGCUAUGCACAAUAAACAAAUUUUAUUAGAUGGUACAAAAGAGUUGGCAAAACGAGCUUCCAUUGGGGGUGCAGGCCCAGGAGGGGUGCAAAAAUAAUCUAUCAGGCUGUGGAGUGUGUGACAUAUAUGUGUUUGGGGUGGGGGGACGUGCUGCCACUGUCACAGUGAGAUCCAAGGCAGGAGAAGAUUUCCGUCCUUCUCACACCAUGGCACAAAGGCAUGCGAUUUUUUUCACCCUUCCUAUCCACCUUGCCCUUUCUCCAGACGCUUUGAGUACUUGGGUGGCAUAAAAUGUAGUACCAUAUUUUUUGCUCUAUAAGACUUACUUUUUCUCUCCUAAAAAGUAAGGGGAAAUGUGUGUGCGUCUUAUGGAGCGAAUGCAGGCUGCGCAGCUAUCCCAGAAGCCAGAACAGCAAGAGGGAUUGCUGCUUUCACUGCGCAGUGAUCCCUCUUGCUGUUCUGGCUUCUGGGAUUGAGAAUAUUUUUUUUCUUAUUUUCCUCCUCCAAAAACUGGGUGCGUUUUAUGGUCUGGUGCGUCUUAUAGAACGAAAAAUAUGGUAAUUUAUAAUGUGACUAUUGCGGUAAAGUGGUUUUUCCAGCUGUGGGGGCACCACUGCCGAUAUAGCUCCUUGGGUGUGGGGAGCCUAGGAACACUUCUACAGAGGCAGGAAUGCUUACGAAUACAGUGGUACCUCGGGUUACAUACGCUUCAGGUUACAGACUCCGCUAACCCAGAAAUAGUACCUCAAGUUAAGAACUUUGCUUCAGGAUAAAAACAGAAAUUGCACGGUAGCAGCGGGAGGCCCCAUUAGCUAAAGUGGUGCUUCAGGUUAAGAACGGACCUCCAGAACGAAUUAAGUUCUUAACCCGAGGUACCACUGUACAAGUUCCUGGAAACCACAGUGGGAAAGAGCAGUUUUUAUAUGAACAGAGCUGGAGCUUAAAUUUUUGGUGGUGCACUGGGAGAGGGGAGUCAACGGAGGUGAGAUUGGGUGUCUGGAGGCCAACACACCAGAGACAGGUUAUUUUUUCCUGGGGGUCCCCCCCCCCCAAUUUGGUCUAACUUUGUUUCUUAUACAAAUAUAGACACACUCACGGACAACAAAUAGCGCCAGGUAAUGCAAAUGUUUGGAUCCAGUGAAAUUUAAGGUUCUAAGUCAGGCAUAGGCAAACUCGGCCUGCCAGAUGUUUUGGGACUACAACUCCCAUCAUCCCUAGCUAACAGGACCAGUGGUCAGGGAUGAUGGGAAUUGUAGUCUCAAAACAUCUGGAGGGCUGAGUUUGCCUGUGCCUGUUCUAAGUUGUACUUUGUUUUGGAGGGCGAUUUCAGGCUGACCUUUAAAACAAAACAAAACAAAACAAAAAUUAUAUUGGUUUUUAAGGGAAUAUAAAAGUAGAAAAUAAAUGUUUGAUACAGUUUUACAUGUUCUGAAAAGGCACUUUGUUCCAGAAUGUAAGAUACAGAGAUAUGCAAUAGAAUAAGCAGAAACAGUAAGACAAGGGAUGGGGGGAGGGAGGGUAGCAUUGGGGGCAUGUUUUUUUAUGUUUCGUAAUAGUAAAAAAGGAGGAUAAAGAGUCAUGUUUUGAGCUUAUACAUUGGUGUAUAUGGAGAGCAUAUUGGGGGAUGGGGAGGGAGAGAGAGAGGAGGAGUACAGGGAUGUUGUUUGUACUUUGUCAAAUCAACCAGGCUGUGUGAGCCAUCUUUUCCAUACUGAAUAAAAUCGAACUAUACUACAAAGAAUUCAUUUGUUUUGUUUGGCCCUCUUGCUUUCAGACUGACCUUAUAAUGGACUGCCCAUUAAUAUGCAGCCACAGACCACAAAACUUCCCAUUGAUGAUAAUUGUUGCACACUACCCCCAAUCUCCGGGCGGCACGAGGGUUUCCGGGAGUUUACCCGGGGUUCCUUUGGGAAUGAUGCACAGCGGAGAUUGUGGUGUCUUUAUAAUAUAUGGUUUAUUCACACAUAUAUACAACCUGAGCCUACAAUGGAGGGGCUCACAUCUUGUUUCUCCCAUAGCCACAGAAAUCGAACAAUGCUCUCAAACUUUGCUCUGACUCUCCAGCUUCCUGCUUUGCUUCUAAGGCCAUAUCACUGCAACUCAACUCUAAACUUAGGCUUAGUCCUUCUAACCAUUUCUGAGUUGAAGGAGGAGCCCUACCCAUUCGUCAUCUGGCACAGAACCCCCUUUCAUUUGCUCUCUUAAUGGCCCAUCACCCAUGCGAUCACCUCAACACGGGAAGCUAGCCUGCCUUAUAUAGAAGGAUCUUGCACACAGCCUGCUUCCUCCCCUCUAAAACUCCUAACAAUAUGUACGGACAUUGACUCAGCAAGUUUCACAUUUAUUUUAAUUCAUUAAUUGUUCCCGUUGUGACUGUUGCAAAUUUUCUUUGUAUUGUUCUAUUAGUUAUUACUGCAAGCUGCAUAAAAUCACAAAUUCGGUAAAAAAUAAUUUGACAAAAAAAGAAAGAAAGAGCAAAGCCAUAUUGGGUAGUUUUGCCUAGCAGUUGGAGGAAAUGUACCAUCAAAGAAUGAAACCCCAUCUUCAAAUGGUAAGUGUUGGAAGUGUACAAGGCAGGGGCAGUUGUACCUGUAAUAAUAGGACAAUUUUUUAUAGAUGCUUCUUCUUCUUCCGAAAACUUUUUUUAUUAUCUAGGUGCUUCUUUUUUUCAGCGCUGUGUGGCAAGAUGUACCUGCCCAGAUGUUUUCGCCCAGCUGCUUUCCUCAAUAUAAGUACUAGAGGUGUUCUCAUCUGGUCACCCCCAGGGAGAUAUCUUCGGGUCACUGAAUGAUUUAUCUGACGUUAA